Molecule: ribosomal RNA, 434 nt
Filed under: uncultured Clostridium sp.
Lineage: Bacteria; Bacillati; Bacillota; Clostridia; Eubacteriales; Clostridiaceae
Description: partial 16S ribosomal RNA
Rfam family: Bacterial small subunit ribosomal RNA
Source: RNAcentral
ACGGGAGGCAGCAGUGGGGAAUAUUGCACAAUGGGCGAAAGCCUGAUGUAGCGACGCCGCGUGAGUGAAGAAGUAUCUCGGUAUGUAAAGCUCUAUCAGCAGGGAAGAAAAUGACGGUACCUGACUAAGAAGCCCCGGCUAACUACGUGCCAGCAGCCGCGGUAAUACGUAGGGGGCAAGCGUUAUCCGGAUUUACUGGGUGUAAAGGGAGCGUAGACGGUUUGGCAAGUCUGAAGUGAAAUGCGGGGGCUCAACUCCUGAACUGCUUUGGAAACUGUCGAACUAGAGUGCAGGAGAGGUAAGUGGAAUUCCUAGUGUAGCGGUGAAAUGCGUAGAUAUUAGGAGGAACACCAGUGGCGAAGGCGGCUUACUGGACGGUAACUGACGUUGAGGCUCGAAAGCGUGGGGAGCAAACAGGAUUAGAUACCCUGGUA